CCGUUAUACCUUCGAUCGUUCAAGCUCACGUGGCCCUCGUGGUCCAUGUUCUCGCUCCGCCGCUCCGAUAACGACUAUAACAAAAUGGCUAGAGUAAUGGCGGGUUCACACAUACAUGGGUCUUUUUCUUUUUUGGCAUUGCACUGCCUAACGUGCACUCCGAAAUUUGCCAGCCUGCAUCUUGCCCCAGUCUAGCAGGCGAGCACCGUGCCUGCAAACAAUCCCGUUCCAAAGCAAAGGAACCCAUAAAAUGGGGAUUUUUCUGUUUACUCCCGAAACUGAUAAAAAUUCCUUACCAGCUUUCCCAGAUUUCCUGAACGGUGCCUUUUCCUUUUUGUAGGAGUGUUAAAUCUCACAAUGCUGCAGAGAGUGGAGAGAGAGAAGGAGGGAGGGAGAGACUGCAGCAGUUCUAAAGCCAAAGGACAGGAAAGUAUGUUGCUUCCUAGAGAGGCUCUAUAUUGCCCCUAUGUGCUGGAAGAAGCAAAAGGCAUUUUUGCUAAAACUGAUUGAGUCAUUCCCACUGUUUCCUUUCAUCUAGAGUCCAAGAAGGCUUAUGAGACAUACUAUAUGGGCAGAAUGGUAUAAUAAAAUUAAAAUUAAAAAAAGAAAGAUUAACUAGAUUGUGAAUCAAGGAUAUUGUAUUUGAUGCAUGACUACUCAUACUUGAAGUUUCACUUCAUUCAGGGAAAAUUAUUUUCUAAUAGUUUAGAACUCUACCAGAACUGUACCUCAAAAACCGUUCAAGUCUGCAUGAGUCAUUGUUAUCCUAAUUAAAUGUGCAUUAAUCUAAACAAAUGUGCCAGUACAUAGGGAAUACUGUAAUAUCAAAUGCAUAUUUAUUUAUUUAUUUGUAUUUCACCUUUAUUAUUUUAGAAGUUAUUCAAGACACAACAUAUCCAAUACAUAUAAGUAGUUUUCACACAUUUUUAUAUAAUAAUACAAAUACAUAAUUCAUGAAUAGGACAUAGUGUAAGACUAGUGGGAUCUAAAUCAGUUACUGUAUAUAGAAAGAAAGAAUAAUAAUAAACAGAAGUUAUUUCAUCCCACUCAUUGCAAGAUUUCCAUUACUUAAUAACAAUCUAUCACUGAACUCCUAAUCUUGUAGAGACAGGGACUCAAAAGCAGGUUUCUCCUGGGAUAUGGUGAGAUGAGUCAAUUUUACCUAAUUGAGGACCUUCAAGUACCUUGGUGUCAAACUAUGUGGGGCCCUAAAGGUUAAAAGCAUUUUAAAUUGAACCCGGAAGCUAAUAGGAAGCCAAUGCACAGGCCAGAGCACAGAUGCCAUUUGCCCAUGUUGACAAACUCCAGAUUGUCCGGGCUUUUGUGUUCUUGAUUAUCUGAAACUUCAAAGUCAGAAUUUCCCAAACUGUAAAAUGUACUUUUCUUGUAGAGACGCAGAGUCCAGGGGCUGUGUGAAGAGCCUUUUAGUUGUGCAUUGUUACAAUAAAUCCAUCUUCCCAAAAUACAGUUCUAAGUGAUGUGUUUGUUUUAAUGUUUGGAUUUUUAGUGGAGGUAUGUACAUUAGAAUUACCCUAAAUGGAAUUAUGAUGGCAAAAAAAAAAAAAAUCCCUGUUCUAAGUGGUCCAAGUAAGUAUGAUUGGGGCAUGAGUUACUGUUGCAAGAACCUCUCGUUCUAUUAGGAUGAUAACUGGUGACCAACUAGAGCCAUGAUGGCAAACCUAUGGCACGUGUGCCAGAGGUGGUACGGAGAGCCCUAUUGCACCAUUGCCAGCUGCUCUUCUGGUUUAUGACGCACGCAUGCACACCAGCUAGCUGGUCUUCAGGUUUCUGGGGCUCUGGUGUGCACGUUCUGGUUUGGGCACUUGGUGCCAAAAAGGUUCACCAUCACUGACCUAGAAUUUGGCAAAGGCAUCCAUCAUUCCAUCUCAGAAAUAGCUAUGAGUCCAGGAUGUCCAUGAUGCUGCCCCAUCAAAGAUGAAACCAGAUCACUUAAAACAACCCCAGUAAACAAACAGAAACUCUGUCUUGUAGGGAUUCAACCUCAAUUUGUUUCCAGAUCCUGACAGCUCCAGACACUGACAUUAGAUAUUGACAGCAUCUUCCAUCUGAUUGAAGCUGGAAGUGUGCAACUGGGUAUCAUCAGCAACCAACAGAUGAUCUUUCCCAGCAGUUUCAAGAAUAGGUUAAAGAGCAGCAGAAAUGUACCAAAUUCUGUGGCAUAGCUUAAUGGAAUCACUGCCUUGCUGAUCUCUCAUUUGUGCCUUCAUUGCUUGGAAUAACCCACAAAACAGUGUCCUUAAUUGUCAAACCCAGUUCAAAAGAAUACCAGUCACAUCAUUUCAAAGGCCACUGAAAGAUCUAAAAGGAUGAGGGGCAUAAUAUCUCCAUCCAAGUUCAUUCACAAGAACAACCAAUACUGCCCAUUCCUUGUGUAAGUAUAUGUAGAAAAAAAUAAUAAUUCUCUACAGUAUAUACAGUACGUCUGCAAAUUAAUUUUAAUGCUAAAACAAAAGGUAUGUUCCUAAAAGUUAUGCUAUUUAAAAUAUUUAUAUUCCCACUUGAAUAGACUUCAGCAGCACAGACAGAUUGCUAAAUUUGUAGAGUUUGUCUAAUGCUGCUAAACUACCUUUUAUAAUACUAUAUACAAAUUAGCUUUAUAUUAUUGAAGUUAUGCUUUCAAUUAAUAAAUGAUUAAAUUUUCUCAGGUGUGGUAAAAUAGUA
Molecule: non-coding RNA, 2682 nt
Organism: Pantherophis guttatus
Lineage: Eukaryota; Metazoa; Chordata; Lepidosauria; Squamata; Colubridae
Source: RefSeq, a predicted model, not a curated record